AGAUCUCAGCCCCUUCCGGGACUAAACCCACCGCCUCUGCUACCAAUGGCGCCACCACCAGCUCUCCGCCUCCUCGCCCUAACGCUCGCCCUCCUUCUCUCGCCGGCGGCGUCGCUCUCCAUCGGCGUCAACUACGGCACCCUCGCUGACAAUCUCCCGCCGCCGACACAGGUGGCGGCUUUCCUCAAGGAGCGCACCUUCAUCGACCGCGUCAAGCUGUUCGACUCCAACCCCGACCUCAUCCGCGCCUUCGCCGGCACCGGCAUCUCCGUCAUGAUCACCGCUCCCAACGGCGACAUCCCCUCCCUCGCCAAGCUCCCCGGCGCCCAAGCCUGGGUCGCCGCCCACGUCGCCCCCUUCUACCCCGCCACCAACAUCUCCCUUAUCGCCGUCGGCAACGAGAUCAUGGCCACCGGCGACCGCUUCCUCAUCGCGCACCUCGUCCCCGCCAUGCGCUCCCUCUCCGCCGCCUUGGUCCAGGCCGGAUUCCCCAAGAUCCGCGUCUCCACGCCCCACUCCCUCGGGAUUCUCUCCGCCUCCGAGCCGCCUUCCUCCUCCCGGUUCCGGCGAGGCUAUGAUCGGGCUGUCUUCGCCCCGAUGCUGGAUUUCCACCGGAAAACCAAAUCUCCGUUCGUCGUCAACCCCUAUCCCUACUUUGGCUACAAUCCGAGGACCCUAAACUACGCCCUCUUUAAGCCUAACCGCGGGGUGUUCGAUCCCGUUACGAAGAUAAACUACACCAACAUGUUCGACGCGCAGCUCGACGCCGUUUACACGGCGAUGAAAAAGCUCGGGUACGGCGACGUGGAGAUCGCCGUCGGUGAGACGGGGUGGCCCACGGCGGCGGAGCCGGGGCAGGCCGGCGUGAGCGUGGAGGACGCGGCGACGUUCAACGGGAACUUGAUACGGAAUGUGAACUCCGGCGAGGGCACGCCGUUGAUGCCGCAUCGGAUGUUCGAGACUUAUAUCUUUGCCCUGUUUAACGAGAACCUGAAGCCCGGGCCCAUCGCGGAGCGGAAUUGGGGACUCUUUCGACCGGAUUUGACUCCGGUCUACAAUGUCGGGCUUAUGAAAACUCCGCUGGGGGUGUCGGCCUGUCUGUCCGGAAUAGAUCACUAUCUCCGCUUCUCGAUGCCCCGCGUGGUGGUAUUUUCGUAGUUGUGGGGAAGUUGGUGGGUUUUCAGUUCAGCCACGACGCGUUUUGUUAUUCGUGGCUCGCGUAAUUAGCUGAAAGCCGAGACGAGUGAGUCCGGUGGUGGUGGUGGUGCGACGCCGGCGCCGUCGGGCAGGAAGUGGUGCGUGCCCAAGUCCGACGCGAGCGACGCGGCGCUUCAGGCGAACAUAAACUACGCGUGCAGCAGCGGGAUCGUGGACUGCAAGCCGAUCCAGGAAGGAGGGGCGUGCUUCCUCCCCAACAGCCUCCGGGCUCAUGCCGCCUUCGCCAUGAACGCCUACUACCAGGCCGCCGGCCGCCACAACUUCAACUGUGACUUUUCCAACUCCGCCGUCAUCACCUCCGCCGACCCCAGCUCGGGGAGCUGCAAGUUUAGCUCGUGAGCGUCGGACCAUGCAGCUAGCAUCCGGAGUCGAUUUUUAUUUUCAUUUAUUUAUUUGCUGCUUCAUUUCACUCGCUAAGUUAUCGGCCUUCGUUGUUGUGGGAAUAGUGGCUAGUAUUUAUCUAUUAAUUGGAAUGAUGGAAGUUUUGAAUCCGAUGGCGUAACAUUGUAACUGCCAAGCAAGAACGGUUUCAACUAAUUAAUAUUGUUAAUUAUGUAUUAGUAGGCUUUUUGGCAUUUUAAAGUUCAGUGCCUUGGCACGUGACUUCUCUCUAUUCUGAAUACAAUUGCUGAGAUUUUCUGGA
Molecule: non-coding RNA, 1861 nt
Organism: Elaeis guineensis (African oil palm)
Lineage: Eukaryota; Viridiplantae; Streptophyta; Magnoliopsida; Arecales; Arecaceae
Source: RefSeq, a predicted model, not a curated record